CCUUCCUCCUGCAGCAGCCUCCCGGACAGAUUACUAUUUCCUGUGGCCGCGUCAUAGUGGGGCUGCAUAGUCACUGGAUCUCGGAUCCUCCUGCUGCCGGCCUCCUCUUCGAGCUGUGUCUGGAUCCGCGGUGGACUGCCAUGUUGACAUGGCGGUGCGGCUGACACAAUCCGACCCAAUCACUCGUUCACACCAUGCUCAUGAGAUGACACCCUUGCCCAUUCACAACUUCCGCACACGAAUCCCAGCACAUACGGAACACAACACUAGCAACUGUAACAAGUAAGAAGGAAGAGCAUCAGGGCAAAAUAUCAAACACAUUUUUAAAAUUAGGUCACCUGUAGUCGGCACACAGCGAAAUAAGCCAACGUGUGGGCUAAACCAUUAUUCAGUCGGAACUAGAAACAGCAGUGAGGCACGAGGUACAGAGUUCCUGAUGCCAGAGGGAUGCCACUAGUUCAACCCACAACAUGCUGCCUUCACUGUGGAUAAGCUACAGGGAAUGAGACCUACUGUACAUAAAGCCAUUGAAGGUAUACCUCCAAUGUAAGAAGUUAUUUAUCGCUUCGGUCUAGCCUC
Pseudophryne corroboree (corroboree frog) is the source of this 579-nucleotide long non-coding RNA. RefSeq lists it as uncharacterized. The record is from RefSeq and is a predicted model, not a curated record. The transcript has 5 exons. NCBI's taxonomy places the organism in Eukaryota, Metazoa, Chordata, Amphibia, Anura, Myobatrachidae.